UCCUGGGUGAUCUAUUGGUCAGGAUUUGGCGCUCUCACCGCCAUGGCCUGGGUUCGAUUCCUGCUCAGGGA
This 71-nucleotide transfer RNA is filed under the name Pteropus alecto (black flying fox). It matches the Rfam family "tRNA". From Rfam's summary of the family: Transfer RNA (tRNA) molecules are approximately 80 nucleotides in length. Their secondary structure includes four short double-helical elements and three loops (D, anti-codon, and T loops). Further hydrogen bonds mediate the characteristic L-shaped molecular structure. tRNAs have two regions of fundamental functional importance: the anti-codon, which is responsible for specific mRNA codon recognition, and the 3' end, to which the tRNAs corresponding amino acid is attached (by aminoacyl-tRNA synthetases). tRNAs cope with the degeneracy of the genetic code in two manners: having more than one tRNA (with a specific anti-codon) for a particular amino acid; and 'wobble' base-pairing, i.e. permitting non-standard base-pairing at the 3rd anti-codon position. Lineage: Eukaryota; Metazoa; Chordata; Mammalia; Chiroptera; Pteropodidae. The record is from Rfam by way of RNAcentral.